RNAcentral lists this ribosomal RNA (605 nucleotides) under uncultured soil bacterium. RNAcentral's name for it is "bacterial SSU rRNA". It matches the Rfam family "Bacterial small subunit ribosomal RNA", at positions 224 to 823 of the family's 1533-position model. The record is from RNAcentral.
GAGAAGCCUGCGGCGGAUUAGCUUGUUGGUAGGGUAAUGGCCUACCAAGGCGACGAUCCGUAACCGGCCUGAGAGGGCGGUCGGUCACACUGACACUGACAUACGGGUCAGACUCCUACGGGAGGCAGCAGUCGGGAAUUUUGGGCAAUGGGCGAAAGCCUGACCCAGCAACGCCGCGUGAAGGAUGAAAUCCCUCGGGAUGUAAACUUCGCAAGAAUGGGAAGAAUAAGUAGAGGCGAAUACCCUUUAUGAUGACGGUACCAUUUGUAAGCUCCGGCUAACUUCGUGCCAGCAGCCGCGGUAAUACGAGGGGAGCAAGCGUUGUUCGGAUUUACUGGGCGUAAAGGGCGCGUAGGCGGCCACGACAAGUCACUUGUGAAAUCUCCGGGCUUAACUCGGAACGGUCAAGUGAUACUGUCGGGCUAGAGUACAGAAGGGGCAACUGGAAUUCUCGGUGUAGCGGUGAAAUGCGUAGAUAUCGAGAGGAACACCUGCGGCGAAGGCGGGUUGCUGGGCUGAUACUGACGCUGAUGCGCGAAAGCCAGGGGAGCGAACGGGAUUAGAUACCCCGGUAGUCCUGGCCUUAAACGAUGAAUGCUUGGUGU